UACGGGAGGCAGCAGUGGGGAAUAUUGCACAAUGGGCGAAAGCCUGAUGCAGCUAUGCCGCGUGUAUGAAGAAGGCCUUAGGGUUGUAAAGUACUUUCAUCGGGGAGGAAAAAACAAAACUAAUAAUUUUAUUUCUUGACGUUACCCGAAAAAGAAGCACCGGCUAACUCCGUGCCAGCAGCCGCGGUAAUACGGAGGGUGCAAGCGUUAAUCGGAAUUACUGGGCGUAAAGCGCACGCAGGCGGUCUGUCAAGUCGGAUGUGAAAUCCCCGGGCUUAACCUGGGAACUGCAUUCGAAACUGGCAGGCUAGAGUCUUGUAGAGGGGGUAGAAUUCCAGGUGUAGCGGUGAAAUGCGUAGAGAUCUGGAGGAAUACCGGUGGCGAAGGCGGCCCCUGGACAAAGCUGACGCUCAGGGUGCGAAAGCGUGGGGAGCAAAC
Molecule: ribosomal RNA, 438 nt
Filed under: uncultured bacterium
Lineage: Bacteria
Description: bacterial SSU rRNA
Rfam family: Bacterial small subunit ribosomal RNA
Source: RNAcentral